GAGUGAACGCUGGCGGUAGGCCUAACACAUGCAAGUCGAACGGCAGCACAGUGGUAGCAAUACCAUGGGUGGCGAGUGGCGGACGGGUGAGGAAUACAUCGGAAUCUACCUUUUCGUGGGGGAUAACGUAGGGAAACUUACGCUAAUACCGCAUACGCCCUUCGGGGGAAAGCCGGGGAUCGCAAGACUUGGCGCGGAUAGAUGAGCCAAUGUCGGAUUAGCUAGUUGGUGAGGUAAUGGCUCACCAAGGCGACGAUCCGUAGCUGGUCUGAGAGGAUGAUCAGCCACACUGGAACUGAGACACGGUCCAGACUCCUACGGGAGGCAGCAGUGGGGAAUAUUGGACAAGUGGGCGCAAGCCUGAUCCAGCCAUACCGCGUGGGUGAAGGAA
This 391-nucleotide ribosomal RNA is filed under the name uncultured soil bacterium. RNAcentral's name for it is "bacterial SSU rRNA". It matches the Rfam family "Bacterial small subunit ribosomal RNA", at positions 27 to 413 of the family's 1533-position model. The record is from RNAcentral.